GAAAUGCGAUAAGUAAUGUGAAUUGCAGAAUUCAGUGAAUCACCGAAUCUUUGAACGCACAUUGCGCCCGCCAGUAUUCUGGCGGGCAUGCCUGUUCGAGCGUCAUUUCAACCAUCAAGCCCCCGGCUUGUGUUGGGGACCUGCGGCUGCCCGCAGGCCCUGAAAACCAGUGGCGGGCUCGCUGUCACACCGAGCGUAGUAGCAUACAUCUCGCUCAGGGCGUGCUGCGGGUUCCGGCCGUUAAAAGCCUUUUUUACCCAAGGUUGACCUCGGAUCAGGUAGGAAGACCCGCUGAACUUAAGC
RNAcentral lists this unclassified non-coding RNA (303 nucleotides) under plant metagenome. RNAcentral describes it as "partial contains 5.8S ribosomal RNA, internal transcribed spacer 2, and large subunit ribosomal RNA". The stretch from base 1 to 105 matches the Rfam family "5.8S ribosomal RNA", at positions 50 to 154 of the family's 154-position model. The record is from RNAcentral.